This 3016-nucleotide long non-coding RNA is filed under the name Octopus vulgaris (common octopus). Lineage: Eukaryota; Metazoa; Mollusca; Cephalopoda; Octopoda; Octopodidae. The record is from RNAcentral.
GUGUGUGUUCUUCAAAUCCAGCGAUUUUAAGGUAAUAUAAAUGGCUUCCAAGCGGAAAGCAGACUCGCCUUAUACUGUUUCGAUGGCAUUGGUCAAGAAAUUCAAUAAAAUGAUUAUGCAUAACUAACGUUAAACCCCUUUUGGAACGUCUUUUUUAACCAGUAUUUCUAACAACUACUAGUAUUUAGUAUUUUACACAAAAUAUUUCGCUUAUUAACUGAAAGGUUCUCGAUUUCAACAUGUUAUAACACUUCUUUAAUCAGUCCUAGGAAUAUGAGAAACACUUUCAACUAUACUUUUAUUUGAACAUAUACUGAGUUAAUUUGCAGUGAAAUAUUUUGUAUCGCGUUCUGUUCAUGGUUACCACUAUUAACAUCACACAAAGCAAUAUACACAUUUUCUGUUAUUGGAAAGAAGCUUAGACAUUUUCGGGAGCUGUUAUUAGAUCAUCGAAUCAAUGUUACUGGUACAUACUUUACUGACGACAGAGAAAGGUUAAAAAUUCUGACAGGCUUUACUUGGAUUUGAAAUCAGAAAGCCAUUCCUAUUACUGGUUCGUUAGCUCUUGUUUCGAGCAAAACGCUGAAUUUGUAAUGAGUAAAGGGCUGGUUUCUAGUAAAAUAUUGCUAUGCUACUAUUAAUUAAUUUUCUUACUAACUUCGCGUGUUUAAAAUUUUAAUCUAGAUCGGUGACAGAUGAGCUGAGAUGAAAGAAACAGGAUGCUGCAGCGCAUUUAGUCAGGUGUUUAAACUUUUCUGUUGCAUCUUUUUCGUUUUCCAACAAACUCGGUUGAAUACUGCUAUUAACGACUCUACUCUCAACUUUCUACGUUGAAAUUACUCAUAUAGUUUGGAGAAAGACACACCUUUGGAUUAACGGAAUCACUGAGAUUAAAUUUUUGCUGAAAGUAACAUAAGAAAAAUAAAUCAACUAACUGAAUUCAAUCUAUUCUGAAAUUUAAAAUUCAGCAACUCGGUGUUUGGUCAUGUCUUCAAAAAGAUCGUAGAAAAUGUUUAUGCAACGUAUCAGUAUUGGGAAAGCAUUCAUUAUUUUGUGAUAAUGGGCAAACUGUUCUUCAACGGAUCCUUUUUGAACAAACUAAAAAUUUUCUAUCCACGUGGCGAACCAGUUUUGUUGACAGAGCAGAUCAUUAAUCAAUAUUUAGAGUAUAAUGUUCUUUAGAUCAGCUGCUUCGAAAUUUAAAUGUGAGAAGAUUUGUAUGCAUAUCGUCACAUGGAAAGAAAAGCCGACUUAGAUUGCAUAAUGGAUAUAUUUUAUGCAGAGUUGUUAACAUUUCGUUAAUUCACUCCUCCGACAUUAGCCGAGUUUCGAACAUUUCCAAUGAAAAUUGAUGGAAAUACUACUUAUACAGUCUCUGUAAGAUCAUAUUCGGAAUUAAUUUAUAAUUUUUCCAAUAAUGCAUAUAAUCAAUAUAAUUUGAAACACGGAAAAUAGCGUUGUUAUAACUUAAAAAAGUUUCUUCUACUUGAUUAAAGCAAAUUUCCGGCCUUAAACAAAAUAUGUUUUCAUACCAUUCACCUAUUUCUUUACUACCCACAAGGGGCUAAACACAGAGAAAACAAACAAGGACAGACAAACAGAAUAAGUCGAUUAUAUCGACCCCAGUGCAUAACUAGUACUUAUUUAAUCGACCCCGAAAGCAAGAAAGGCAAAGUCGACCUCAGCGGAAUUUGAACUCAGAACGUGACCGUAGACGAAAUACCACUAAGCAUUUCGCCCGUCGUGCUAACGUUUCUACCAGCUCGCCGCCUUUUGAUGCCAUUCACCUAUUUGUCUGUGCUUCUUAUUUCUUUCAAACAAUUCAGACCUCAGCUAGCAUACAUUUAAUUUAAAACAUGUCUCCCAAGUGCCACUCUACACGUUCGUUUCUAAUAUUAGACUAAAAAGCAACAUUGAGCAGUGAAUUAAAAACUUCAGUAGUCAGACAAUAUCUAUAGCAAUAUCGAGCUUCGUCUCUUUAAAUUUUGAGUUCAAAUCCCGUCAUCAGAGUUAACUUUGUCUUUAAUCUUUUGGAGUCGAUUAAAUAAGGUGCCCGCUAAAUACUGGGAUCGAUAUAAACGACUCUACCCGAAAAUAUAUGAGCUUGUGUUUAUGUUAAAAGUCAAUAUGAUAAAAAUUCCUGGUAUUCUAUAAGGAUUGCUUAACGAAUGACUGUGACAUUCUAACUUCUUUUGUUGCAUUAGCGUAGACUAGAAUAGAAACUUGACCGUAAAUUAAUCACACUGAACUUAACUGUAAGAUAUGCGUUAAUUUUAAAUUGUUCAAGGCCUGUUAUUUUCUUCUCCAGUCUGUUUAUCUUUCUCUUCUCUCAUCAUUUUGCAAAUGUCGCUGUUUCUCUUUAAGUCUGCUUUGCGUUUAUAAGCAUGGGCUUAAGUUCCUCCUGACAGUACUGCGACGGACAAAAUACCUUAUAACUUUUAGUUAUGGUUCUUUACUUAGCUCAAAUCUCAACAGUAUGAACUUGGCCUUUUAGCCUUCCAGCAUCAGUAAAAUAAAGCCUCAGGCAUAUACUGGAGUCAUUCUUAUCCGCUUUACUCUCCCCUACAUUUUUUGGGUGACACCUACCUGUUAGAAAUGAAUAGGAAAAACUAGUGCCUAUCUGGAGGGAUUCCAUGAGUCAUUCUCAUAUUAAAAUCAAUAUCACAUUACAAUUUGUAAUAUCUAUUUAAAUGGGUAUUUUCAGAGGAAGAGAAUGACUGGUGAGUUGUGAUAUAGAAGGUAGAAAAGAAGAGUUUGAAAAAUGUUAGAAAUGGUGAACAAGAAAGAGACAGUGGAAGAAAAAGAAAAAUCAAGUAGUGUUAAUAGAGGCCAUCUGUAAUGAAAAGAAAGGAAAGAGAAAAAAAGGACAGUUUGAGAAAGACAAAUAAAAAGUUAGAAAUUAAGCUGCAAAAGACAACGCGACUUUAUGACGAAGUGAAAGGUGAAAGCGAUAAAAACAAGGAGGAAGCAGGGAAAAUAGAUAAUGUGAUAAAAAUAAAUGAGAGAUAAUUGACAG